GGAUGUGAGGGCGAUCUGGCUGCGACAUCUGUCACCUCUUUGCUCACCAGUGUUGAUUCAGCUGACCUGGCUGGCAAGGCGGGGGUCCCCUUCCUCCCUCACCCCCCACGUGCGUCCCUCCCAAAGCCACGCACUCAUCAAAGAGGCCGACCUUCCCGCUAGAGGAGGACCCUGCUCGGGUCAAGGGCAUACGAGUGGCUGCGCUCCCCUGCUACAACCUCCAGACUAGCUCUCAGGAAAGCAAAAAGCCAUGCUACAAGAUGGCAGAAAAUAUUUGCAAAUCAGAUAUUAGAUCAGGGUCUAUAAUU
This 308-nucleotide small nuclear RNA is filed under the name Dasypus novemcinctus (nine-banded armadillo). Its description in RNAcentral is "7SK RNA (ENSDNOG00000027439.1)". It matches the Rfam family "7SK RNA". Rfam says of the family: 7SK was discovered as an abundant small nuclear RNA in the mid-70s but a possible function has only recently been suggested. Two independent studies have found that 7SK RNA binds the CDK9/cyclin T complex (known as elongation factor P-TEFb). Lineage: Eukaryota; Metazoa; Chordata; Mammalia; Cingulata; Dasypodidae. The record is from RNAcentral.